CACAAUUUCAUUCCGCGAUUCCCGUUUUGCAGCAACAUUGGAGUCAUGCCGUCACGUGACUGACCCAAGUUUUAUUUGCGCGAGUGGACACUAUUUGGGCCGUUAUUACGUAUUCCUUCUUCCCACGUCAUGGCUUGAUUCCGCAGGUCCGAGGCCGCGUCCGACAUUGCCGCCUCCUCGUCAUGCCUCGUCUCAUCGCUCUGUUCUCCCGUUUAUCUGCGCAGAGUUCCUGCUGCCAGUCGUGGCGUGUCUCGGACUGCUUUGCGCUCUCGGAGCGUUCGCCUACCCGGCCGACCCCGAGUGCCACUUCACGGGCUUCCUGCUGAGCGUGCACGAAGCCGUGCGUCACCUGCGCUCCGAGCACGUGAGUGAUGACGCUGCAGAGCGCGCGCACGCGCUUCCCCCCCCCCCAGCAGCGUGACGUCACGAAGUACCGCUUUUAACGUACCCUCUCGUUCACAGUCUCGCGUGCAGCUGCAGUGCGCAUCGUCCGAGUGCGAGAGCGAGCUGAGCGGGGCCUGCCCGCCCGCGUGCCGCUCGUGCGCACUCGUGCUCGCGCCCUGCCGGGAUCCCGCGCGCCUCUCCGUGAGUUACCUGAAAAACCACCGAGAACCACGAAAUCUCGAGUUCGAAUUGGUGCAGCGACAUGGCGCGGAGUGCGUGACGAGCGGUCGGUGUUGUCGUUCUCUUCCCGCAGGAGUGCUUCGACCGCAUCUCGAGCGUCAUGCGAGGGUACGACGACUCGCUGCAAGCUUUCCAACAGACGCUGUCGCCUCCCGUCGCAGGAGAGUCGCCGCUGUCUCUGUGUAAGCCGAAUGAAGUGGGAACGCUCAACUCCACCAUCAAUCGAGUUCAGAAUGCUCUCGCUGCACUCAAGAGUGGAGACGCUCUGCAGCCUGCAUCCAACCCAGCCCAGAACAUCACUUUCAUUGAUCCCGGGAUCACCGAGCCCUCGUGCUGGGAUGAGAAAGUCGGCACACACCUGUUCCUGCGCAAGUUUGAAUGGUGCACAAGGCGAGCGUACAGGGCCGCGAUCAGCGGGCCUUGUCGGCCCAUUUUGGUUUGAAUUUCCGUUCGACCCUUCACGUUCUUCAAAGGGUACAAUACAUGGAAUUCUCAACACAGGAGGAGGCCGUCAGGCCUCUCAUGCCCAAACCACAUGCACACCUCCUCACCCUUCAGCACAACAACCAAACCCACAGCACAAACCCGAUCCACCCUGGCACGCACUCGGUGCAAAGGGGAUGGGUGGGGGGGGGGAAGAGGUACGUCCAUCACAUGAACAAUCACAAAAUCUAAAUCCCAUCUUCGGUUUGAAUGUGACCACCACUGAUCAGCACAAUCACAACGCAAGCAAUCGACACGCCAUUUUGGUCUCAACAAAAUCAAUGCUCGUAUUUUAUGACGAUAAGUUAAUGUAUUGACCUCUGUAGUGAAACGAAUCCUCUUUGGAAGAAAUUUCUAUAUUUAUUUAUCAUUUAUAUUGCAGCAGAAUUAUUUUUAUUGGCAUAUUUUUGAUAUCAUCAUCAUCAUCA
Molecule: long non-coding RNA, 1535 nt
Filed under: Eptatretus burgeri (inshore hagfish)
Lineage: Eukaryota; Metazoa; Chordata; Myxini; Myxiniformes; Myxinidae
Description: lncRNA (ENSEBUG00000017169.1)
Source: RNAcentral